UCCAGCUCCAAUAGCGUAUAUUAAACUUGUUGCGGUUAAAAAGCUCGUAGUUGGAUUUCUGCUGAGGACGACCGGUCCGCCCUCUGGGUGAGUAUCUGGCUCGGCCUUGGCAUCUUCUUGGGGAACGUAACUGCACUUGACUGUGUGGUGCGGUAUCCAGGACUUUUACUUUGAGGAAAUUAGACUGUUUAAAGCAGGCUUAUGCCGUUGAAUAUAUUAGCAUGGAAUAAUAAGAUAGGACUUCGGAACUAUUUUGUUGGUUUGCGUUACGAAGUAAUGAUUAAUAGGGACAGUUGGGGGUAUUCGUAUUUCGUUGUCAGAGGUGAAAUUCUUGGAUUUCCGAAAGACGAACUACUGCGAAAGCAUUUACCAAGGAUGUUUUCAUUA
This 387-nucleotide ribosomal RNA is filed under the name Bacillariophyta sp. RNAcentral's name for it is "partial small subunit ribosomal RNA". It matches the Rfam family "Eukaryotic small subunit ribosomal RNA", at positions 584 to 975 of the family's 1831-position model. The record is from RNAcentral. Lineage: Eukaryota; Bacillariophyta.